GCCGCGUUGGCGCAAUGGUAGCGCGUUGCACUUGUAUUAACAAAGAUAACAAUGCAAAGGUUAUUCGUUCAAAUCGGGUACGUGGCA
This is a transfer RNA of Termitomyces sp. J132, 87 nucleotides long. It matches the Rfam family "tRNA". Rfam says of the family: Transfer RNA (tRNA) molecules are approximately 80 nucleotides in length. The record is from Rfam. NCBI's taxonomy places the organism in Eukaryota, Fungi, Basidiomycota, Agaricomycetes, Agaricales, Lyophyllaceae.